Molecule: long non-coding RNA, 394 nt
Filed under: Nicotiana benthamiana
Lineage: Eukaryota; Viridiplantae; Streptophyta; Magnoliopsida; Solanales; Solanaceae
Description: long non-coding RNA (NBEN_LNC003096)
Source: RNAcentral
AGAAAUUGUUUAAAAGCUCAGGGAAAACAUAGAUCUAGAACGAAUCUAAAGAAAUCAGAAGAACCUCAAAGCUAUGGCUUCAUAGGAACCCAAUUGGUGAAAAAGGCUUAGAAAGUCAUUGAUCUGAGCAGGAGAAAUUGAGAUCAGGCUCGAACAGCCAUGACUAGCCUGAGUAAAGCUGGAGACGGCCAUAGAACUCGAAUAAAAUGAGGCAUGUACCAAGCUUCUUCGUGGUCAGGACUUGAAUCUUCAAUAACCAGGGGUGGUCGGUAUAAGACUUCAAUUACCUUGAAAACCAUAGAUUCAGUGGUUUUAGGGUGAAAGUAGAGGGAGGCGUCUAGGGUUUCUGAGAGAGAUUGAGAGAGAAUUUGAGAGAAAUGGGAGAAUUCAAGGG